This 17-nucleotide transfer RNA is filed under the name Latimeria menadoensis (Menado coelacanth). RNAcentral describes it as "partial tRNA-Glu". Lineage: Eukaryota; Metazoa; Chordata; Coelacanthiformes; Coelacanthidae. The record is from RNAcentral.
AUUCAACUACAAAAACA